This 82-nucleotide transfer RNA is filed under the name Eubacteriales bacterium. RNAcentral's name for it is "tRNA-Leu". It matches the Rfam family "tRNA". From Rfam's summary of the family: Transfer RNA (tRNA) molecules are approximately 80 nucleotides in length. Their secondary structure includes four short double-helical elements and three loops (D, anti-codon, and T loops). The record is from RNAcentral. Lineage: Bacteria; Bacillati; Bacillota; Clostridia; Eubacteriales.
GCGGAUAUGGCGGAAUUGGCAGACGCGCUGGAUUUAGGUUCCAGUGGGCAAGCCCGUGCAGGUUCAAAUCCUGUUAUCCGCA